CCUGUUAUUACAGGACAAGACAUAACUGUAAAUCAAACCCAAAGCACAUCAAUCCCUACCUCAAUGGAGUCUCAAACCACUGAAUCAUUGCCGACCCCCUCCACUAAACAUAUAACAUCCUACCCUGUUAUUACAGGACAAGACAUUACUGUAAAUCAAACCCAAAGCACAUCAAUCCCUACCUCAAUGGAGUCUCAAACAACUGAAGACACCAGUCCAACCACCAACAAAUUGUCAUCUUCAGGAAUGUCACAAUCCACUUCGGAGAUGUCUUCAAUUGAGAUGUCUACUAAAGAACAUGGUUCCACAAGCCAUCCUUCAAUGUAUAGUACAGCUGUGGUCUCAACUGCAGAAUAUCAUAUUUCUACACCAUUCACAACUACAAACUCCCCCAAGACAACUGAAUCAUUGAAGUCACCCUCCACUACACAUAUAACAUCCUACCCUGUUAUUACAGGACAAGACGUAACUGUAAAUCACACCCAAAGCACAUCAAUCCCUACCUCAAUGGAGUCUCAAACCACUGAAGACACCAGUCCAACCACCAACAAAUUGUCAACUUCAGAUACCACUUCCUCAUCUGGAUUUACCACACCUAUGACAAUGAUUCCAGGUUCGACCACAGAAAGGAGACCGUCAACGCAAAGCAAGACAGUGACCACAAUUGUGCAUACACAGGCAGACAGUCAGUCAACACCAGCCCACAGUUCAACCUCAAAUGUUACCCUUAUGACAUUCACAACAAUAUCUACAACUCAUCAGUGUAAUGAAGAGGACUGUCACUGUCAUGGUGCUCCUUGUUCUUUCAAUUACACUCUUGGCUUAUGUCAGUGCCAUUGCUCUGACUCCACCUUUGGAGAUUUGUGUAUUUAUGGAAGUAAUGUCAUCACAGUUUCCUUUGAUAAGGCAGUACCAACCAGAAAGGCAUAUGUCUCUUUGAGGAUUAUCAGGGAAUUUGAGACUGAGUAUGAAAAUAUGAACUCCAGCAAGUCCCAAAUAUUAAUCAAAACUUUGAUUAAGGAGCUUAGUGCUCUCUGCAGGAGAGCAGAUCCACACAAUUUUAAAGAUGUAAAAGUCAUUAAUCUAAAACCUGGAAGUAUUGUUGCAGAGAGCAUAGCGGAAUACACCUAUCCCAACAAUGCAUCUCAAAUUGAUUUCCUCAACAAUGAACUGGAACCCAUACUUAGGAAUAUCUUGAACAACACAGAUAACCUAAUGAUCAUCAGUCAAGCAUUUGAAAAUGUGCGAAUCCAGGUUACCAAUAUUACCUUCCAACCAAUGGAAAUAAGGAAUAUUGCAGAUUUGAGGUCAUUUGUGGCCUGUCGUCUGGGUUUUGCCAACUACACAGAAGAGCUCUCUGAUGGCAGCUGGAAGUGUGUGGGGCCUUGUAAACAGUAUCCAGACUACUGUCAUAGACACGGAGAAUGCUUUAAUAAUGUUCAAAGUGGACCUAUUUGUCUGUGCUAUGAGUCUUCCCUGGAGCAGUAUGAUGGACCCCAGUGUGAGCGCUUCCGCAGGGGAAGAGGUUUCUAUGCUGCACUCUUUGGUGCGCUGGGGGCAGGCAUCCUCCUCAUACUUGUUCUCAUCGUGGUUAUCGUGGUCCUGCGAAGGAACCGUGGGGGACGAUGGAACAUUGACAAGCCACCUGCCAGAAGACUGAUGUCUCUCAAAGAGGACUUUUUUGACUUCACACAAAGAGACCUCGGUCCAUACCAUGGCAGUUCACCAGUCUACACAAAUACUGAUUUAGUUCACGAAGGCUGCCCAGGAGUAUUCUGCCUGCAUCUUGACAAUGUUGACACAACAUAAAAUGUACAUUUACAGGCAUUAUACUGUAAUUUCUGUUGUUUCAUGUCUUUCAUAUUUGUCAUAUCUUACAAUCUUUGCUAUGAAUGAAAAAUUACAUCCAGUAAUGAGUGGCAGUAAAUAUAAAAUAUAGUAUCUACACUAAAACAUCACACCUUUCUAUAUACUAUAAUAACAAGUAUUUACAUGUAAUUACUUACACAGUCUAGAGCACCAGCUGUUUAUGAUUCUCUAUUUUAAUGAAUACUAAUGUUGACAUUUUAAGUGAUAUGAUUAUCCAAAAUGUUUUCUCAGGUGAAGACCCAAUGGCCAACAAUAAUAGAUUUUCUUCAAAAUAACACAGAAUAAAAUAUUCAAGCUGCCUAAAACGUUUAACCACAAAUAAUUAUUCUUUAUAACAUGCAUAAUCAUUGUGAAUCAAAUUCAUUUUGUACUGCAGCUGUUUUACUGGAAUUCAGAAGCAUAAGGCUACACACUACUGUCCUUUGAGGACUUGAUAAAUAGAAUGAGAUCUAGAUGAACAAUUUCCUGACAUUGAAGAUGACCCUGUAUGAGUAUUAGAUGUGUACGUUACAUCUGUUGACUAAGUGUAAUAUGUCACUUCUGGGCUUUGGGUUCACAUAUAUAUUUUUAAUUUGACAAAUAUUUAAAUAAACGGUG
Long non-coding RNA from Oncorhynchus tshawytscha (Chinook salmon), 2466 nucleotides. The record is from Ensembl. NCBI's taxonomy places the organism in Eukaryota, Metazoa, Chordata, Actinopteri, Salmoniformes, Salmonidae.